This is a long non-coding RNA of Cygnus olor (mute swan), 1947 nucleotides long. RefSeq lists it as uncharacterized. Lineage: Eukaryota; Metazoa; Chordata; Aves; Anseriformes; Anatidae. The transcript has 5 exons. The record is from RefSeq and is a predicted model, not a curated record.
UUUCAAUUUUGGCCUAAUUAAAUUUCUUUAAUGCAGUCAGAAAUUAAAGGGAAGCCCAACAAUUGGUCCUUCAGGUGGAAGGAAGGUUGAUGUAAAAGCAGGAAGGGCUGGUGCUGAGCUCUGUGCUUCUAGCCCUAAGUUGGUAUUUUACAGUUGAAAAAUGGUAGUCAUAUGACAAGUGCAGGGUUCAUUUCACUUUACAGCAAUAACAGCUUUUUGGCCUAGUGCAGAGAAGGAUAAUAUGCCUCAGGAAAAAGGAAAAGAAGCAAAAGGAUGUAAUGGACAAAAUCAACUGGUUUCUGGGUGGAUCUUUUCCUUCAAGAAGCAACAACUACACAGACCUUACCUCUGCUGGUGCUCUACAGAAGCGAUGUUGAAUUUUUAACCGAGACACGUUAGCACAGCCAGGACCGUGUCGGUGCUCCCAGCUGCAGAAGGUGUGCUCAGCAGACGGAUGGAGCGAGGGCAGGCAGGGAUCUGCAUCAGCGCCUGUGCCGGGAUGGCAGGACUCUCUUGAAUGAAGCCAUAUGUUGUACUCGCGGGGGACGAGAGGCGGCUUGGUCUGGGCUUGGAGAAACAUGGAAGUGUUGAGAAGAUAGGCCUGAGUCAAGUUCAGGGUUUCAGCAGUUUUCAGCUCUACUUUGUCCUUUCUCCUUCAGAUUUUAGAAGACAAGACAUGCUGCAAGAGCAAACAGGUUUGUUUUUUUUUGCAUCCUAUUACUUACCAAGCACACAGAUUUUUAGGCUGCUGCCGUACUUUUUUCCACACUUCAAAGGAUUAAAAUUGAACACGUUCCAAGUGAAAAGUAACAGCCCAAAUUGAUAAAUUAAACUAGAUGUAACCCUGUGUUUCAUUAUUAAAGCUUGAUGUGUUCAGGCUCAGUCUCCCUGGCACAGGGAGGAUCGUCCUGCCUCCUCUCGGAUGUCUGUCUGUACCCACAGCUGUGGGCUCAUGACAAGUCUCCUGCAACACCUACCAGCUCAAGCCUUGUUUGGGCUGUUCCUCGUCUCUUUCAUGAUGAGGCACUGGACAAAAAAGUGUUACAUCCAUCAAUGAGAGGGCAUUACCUGUAGGAGAAGGCUGACAUCUCUCCUGAUUUUACAGAGGCAUCUGCGGUGCCUCCUGCAGGGGCGGCCUCCAGGCCGGCUGUGGCAUGGUGUUAGUGGUGACACAGAUGUAACCUCCGGCAGCUGCCAGCCCUUCUUGGCCAAAUAAAGUGACUGUUUAAGCGUACCUCUGUCAUUCCUCUGGUUUGCAUAAGGUGCAGUGCUUUUGGGAUUAUUUCAGGGCUAGCUGCCUCACGGUUGUAUUUCUAAGCAUGGUCAGUCAUCUCUAGGCAGUGUUUUGAAGUGUGUUUGGCUUAGUGGAGCCACUUUUUGAAAACUGUAGGCUCUUAUAAAUCCCCAAAUGGAGAUGCAGACAAGUUGUGAUGAUAAGAGUCUUUGCAGCGCCAAGUAUCUCUCCGCAAAUUGUAUGUCUGGCUUUUCCUGCAGCAUCGCAGGGAAGUCCUGCGGGGCCCUGUGUUCAGGGGAGGUGUCUCCUCCUCCCUGCUGACAGCCAAAUUGCACAGUGCCAUGGAUAAUUUUAUAUUCAACGCUUCUCUAAUGUUGCAUUUCCAUGUAAAAAAUUGCUGUCUUUGCCCCUAGGAACAUUAUAAAGCAGCCUGAAACUAUGUUCAAUAGUCUUAGUAUUAUUUCAUACCUCUCACUGAACAAAACAAAUGAUGAGUUGCUUGUCCCCAAACGGAUGAUGAAUAUGAAACACUACAACAGAGGUCCUGUGUGAGGAUUGAUGGAUUUGGGCAAUGCCUUUUUUAUUAUUUUCUCUGUAGCUAAGUUAUAUUCAAAACCCUUCUAUUCAGCAACUCACCUGUGAAAAUUAAUUGGACUGCUUUAUGUACAUUGGACUAAUUUCCAUAUAUUACCCUACCCUUUCUAAAAUGAGUU